CAUGUGACAGCACAAUGUCAUUCAUCAAACAACAUAAAAGCAGCUGCAGUGAUCCUACAAAUCACAGCUUUGGAGACGGAGUGAAGACAAGCAGAAAACAAUUUGCCUGGCAUCCUGACACAAGUGAUCAACCUGAAAACGACAAGAGAAAAUCAUGGCAACAUUCAGUGCAGUGAUAAACUGUGAAAGUGGGAACUAUGGGCCCUUCGACACGGACCGGACUGUGCUGUACAACAAGGUGAUUACAAGCGACAAAAGCUACAAUCCACUUACAGGUGUCUUUUCUGCACCAACUACAGGUCUUUAUUACUUUACCUUCUGCUACGGUGCUACAGGAUCAUAUAAAGCAAAGCUGACACUGAUGAAGAACAAGGAACAGAUUAUUUCGACAUUUGGUCAUGAAAGUGACUCUAAGGCAGCUAAUAAUGGAGGAAAUGCAGUGUUCCAGGAGCUGACUCAAGGGGACCAGGUGUCUGUGCUCAUGUCUGCGGGUAGCACUGUUAGUGCUUUAGACGGCCUGACCUCCUUCAGUGGUCAUCAGCUUGGAUAAGUUGAAUGAUGCCUCCAGAAAAAUGAUUUGAAAACCUUUGAUUCAACAAUGCAGCUACAAUGAAGUUAAAAUUCAGAUUGAAACAUCAUUUUGCUGUAUUCAAGCACAAUAAAUCAUCACAACAUAAGUCGA
This is a long non-coding RNA of Toxotes jaculatrix (banded archerfish), 682 nucleotides long. RefSeq lists it as uncharacterized. The record is from RefSeq and is a predicted model, not a curated record. The transcript has 3 exons. Lineage: Eukaryota; Metazoa; Chordata; Actinopteri; Toxotidae.